CAGCCGUAAACUAUGCGCGUUAGGUGUAUCGGUGACCACGAGUUACCGAGGUGCCGAAGGGAAACCGUGAAACGUGCCGCCUGGGAAGUACGGUCGCAAGGCUGAAACUUAAAGGAAUUGGCGGGGGAGCACCACAACAGGUGGAGCCUGCGGUUUAAUUGGACUCAACGCCGGGAAGCUCACCGGAUAGGACAGCAGAAUGAUUGCCGGGCUGAAGACCCUGCAUGACUAGCUGAGAGGGGGUGCAUGGCGUAGACGUCU
RNAcentral lists this ribosomal RNA (261 nucleotides) under uncultured archaeon. RNAcentral describes it as "partial 16S ribosomal RNA". It matches the Rfam family "Archaeal small subunit ribosomal RNA", at positions 748 to 1009 of the family's 1478-position model. The record is from RNAcentral.